This 1676-nucleotide long non-coding RNA is filed under the name Heterocephalus glaber (naked mole-rat). RNAcentral's name for it is "lncRNA (ENSHGLG00100034794.1)". The record is from RNAcentral. Lineage: Eukaryota; Metazoa; Chordata; Mammalia; Rodentia; Bathyergidae.
CACAGCCAAGGAGGAAGGCCGGCGGGCCUGACCUGGGAAUGGAGGCACAACUUGCUGCAGGUCUCAGUAGGGAAGUCAGGACUGAGGGGGCCACAGGUACCCAGGAACAGGUGGGGCCUGGAGGCUGUGCUGAGCGCGUCCCUGCAAACGGCGUGAAAGGGAACACACCUGAGCGCGAAUCUGGGCUGAACUCUUCACCUCGCCACCUUUACAUCGCAUGCACCACAUUUCCAAGCUACAGAUCUGUUAGCAUCCAAUGGCAAAGCCCUGACUCCAACUCCGUGCCACCACCACAAGGGGACAGCACUGCAGCCAGCCUGCCUGGGACACUGAGCCCCACUGCGUGUACAGGGUGCCCCUCUGCCUGCCGCUUCCAACCUAUUAAGCGGGUUUAGAAACACCGCAUGUGUCGGGGGAUCUGCAGUCCUUGCUCAGCCCCUCUUGCUCCCAGGUCCCACAUGGUGAGAGACUCAGCAAACGCCAACCUGGGCGUCCACAUCACUGGCUGACUUCACUGUGGAAAAUUAUAAAGCAGUGUAAGUGUAACAACAGUUGGUGUUCUUAUGCCUUCUUUUGUCAUUUAUACCUUCCUCUUAUUUGCCGUUACUUUAGGAUUCCUUUCCCUAUAAUAAUUUCCUAGGCACGCACCUGCCUUCCUGUUCACCCAGGCUCCUCUACCUUUGCUGGGAGGUGUCCGUCACUCUCCGAUUCUGCUGUGGACGCCGUCCAGGCCCUGAGCAGCACCCUGUGCCAGAGGAACUUGAGAACAGCAGAUCCAAUCCCACACCUGCCAGCCAAGACCCGGGGAAGGGAGGAGACUGCGCCCAUUGUCAGUGAACUCGCCUUCAUGCAAACAUCUCACAGACUCGGUCAUUUCUUCAGGUCAGCACUACAUUAACAGGACAGCUUCGUGUCUUCAUAAGGCAUUUCAAAAACUUAACAAACAACUAUUAUGAUUCUUAAAAGCACAGGACAAAUGUCUUCAUGGGGUAUGAUUUCAAAAUAUAGUGAAUGCUGCUGCUGAGCUCCAUCCAGUGGGAAGGCAGCCUUAUAAAACAUGACGCACUGGCCUCAUCCAGUUUAUUCACAGGACCUGGCCCCAUGCAACUUCCCGGCUCUUCUGCAAAGUCAAAAUGACCAUGAAGGGUGUUUUAUAUCAAUUCAGGACACUGAGGAAGCCAGGACAGAGCAACUAAAGACACUUCCAAAAGGACUUCCAGAACUGCUUCAGAAAAUGACCAGAAUGAUGGGAUAAGUGUGUUCAAAGUGAGGGUCGAGUAUUUUGAAAGAAACGAAUUAGCAGUGUUUUUGACUCUAAUAAUUAUUUUAAAUUUAAAAUUCACUAUUUUUCCAUCAUACCUCAUAAUACUUAACUUGUGGCCAUGUACAUUUUGUACAUUUAUUUGCAAGAUUUCAAGUUAGGAGACUGAGCUCCCAUGUUUCGUCUGUACUAAUCAGGAAAUGAUGGGAUGGAAAUACCUCGGCCAGCCAAGGUUCUGUGGUGUAACAGUGGAGGGUGGCUGAAAAGGACACGGAACCACAGUCACCAGAUCCUAGAGCAGAACAUCGGACACGCUGUACAUCCCAACACUCCACUGACCAACACGCGGUAGUGGGAAUCAGCCCUUUAUUUUGGUGUGUGUUUGAAAAAUUAAAUAAAACACUAAAUAUUAAAC